GACGAACGCUGGCGGUGUGCUUAACACAUGCAAGUGGUGCGACGAACCAGAGCUUGCUCUGGGGCAAAGCCACGAACGGGUGAGUAACACGUGGGUAAUCUACCCCGAUGACCGGGACAACCCGAGGAAACUCGGGCUAAUACCGGAUGUGGUACGGAGACAUAAGUCUCUUUACUAAAGGUAGCUUCGGCUUCCGCAUUGGGAGGGGCCCGCGGCCCAUUAGCUAGUUGGUGGGGUCAAGGCCUACCAAGGCAACGAUGGGUAGCUGGUCUGAGAGGACGAUCAGCCACACUGGGACUGAGACACGGCCCAGACUCCUACGGGAGGCAGCAGUGGGGAAUCUUGCGCAAUGCGCGAAAGCGUGACGCAGCAACACCGCGUGAGGGAAGACGGCCUUAGGGUUGUAAACCUCUUUCAGAUGGGACGAAGGUGAUGCGGUGAAUAGCCGAUGUCAUUGACGGUACCGUCAGAAGAAGCUCCGGCUAACUACGUGCCAGCAGCCGCGGUAAU
Molecule: ribosomal RNA, 510 nt
Filed under: uncultured bacterium
Lineage: Bacteria
Description: bacterial SSU rRNA
Rfam family: Bacterial small subunit ribosomal RNA
Source: RNAcentral